GGGCCUCCUCGUCUCCGCGGAGCCCCGUCAAAGCGCUCCCGCCCGGGCUCCCCGCGGAAGCGACGCCCGGACGCCAGGGCCUCGCGGGCCAGGGCGGCAAAAACCGCCCUCCGCCGGCGGAGCGCCCGACGCGGCGCGCGUUGGACCGGCCGCUCCCGCCCAGGAGGGACGAGGCCUGGCCUGGACAGCCCCGCGGGGCACGGGGCUCAGGGGGACCGCUUUGGAGGGGAUGGCCGCGCCCUCUCUACCGCUUGCCUCAGGUGCAUCGCUGUGCAACAGGCAGGCACUUCCCGCCACAUUCGCCUACUCCACGCUGAGGCGGCAUUGCCCCGCCUGACCCGGAAGUCUGCGGCCUCCCCAUUGGCUCAGGAAGAGCAGGAGUUGGGGGGCAAGCGAGUGGGCGAGCAGGGCGAGCUGGGAGGCGUGGCAAACAGGAUCAACCAGCAGGAGGUGGAGACUGUACUGGUCAACUGCCAGCCAAGGAAAAUCAG
RNAcentral lists this long non-coding RNA (491 nucleotides) under Equus asinus (donkey). Its description in RNAcentral is "lncRNA (ENSEASG00005024933.1)". The record is from RNAcentral. Lineage: Eukaryota; Metazoa; Chordata; Mammalia; Perissodactyla; Equidae.